GUGUUAUAUACUAUGGCCAGAGGAUCUAUGAACUAGACAUCAGAUGGUUCCUCCCCAAGCACUCAAAUGGAAGCCAGGCAGACUCAAACGCCCGCUUCGUGGAUGUUCAAACACUGUGUACACCCACAUCUUGUCGACUUGAAGUAGCUCAAUUAUUCUGUGGCGUUCAUGGGGCAGCGUGUAUGAUUCCCAUUUUACCAACUGAGAAAACAGACUCCAGAAGAAGUGCUGAUGUCCUACAGGUCCCAGAGGUCAAAGAGGUGAGUUGUGGUUGAGCUGGGUCGAUCUG
RNAcentral lists this long non-coding RNA (289 nucleotides) under Mustela putorius furo (domestic ferret). RNAcentral describes it as "lncRNA (ENSMPUG00000027722.1)". Lineage: Eukaryota; Metazoa; Chordata; Mammalia; Carnivora; Mustelidae. The record is from RNAcentral.